UACGUUGGUGGCAAGCGUUGUCCGGAUUUAUUGGGUUUAAAGGGUGCGUAGGCGGUUUAUUAAGUCAGUUGUGAAAUACGGCAGCUUAACUGUCGAGGUGCAAUUGAUACUGGUAGACUUGAGUACUGAUGAGGUAGGCGGAAUGGACGGUGUAGCGGUGAAAUGCUUAGAGAUCGUCCAGAACACCGAUAGCGAAGGCAGCUUACUAAGGAGUAACUGACGCUGAGGCGCGAAAGUGUGGGGAGCAAACAGG
RNAcentral lists this ribosomal RNA (253 nucleotides) under uncultured bacterium. RNAcentral's name for it is "partial 16S ribosomal RNA". It matches the Rfam family "Bacterial small subunit ribosomal RNA", at positions 524 to 776 of the family's 1533-position model. The record is from RNAcentral.